AUCCCAUGAUGUGGACACUUCCGCAGCAUAUUUUUAAACCUAUACCAGGCUUCAUCAAAGUUCUCUGAGAUGUAUUGAUGGAAAAUAAAUAUACCAUACUUGAGCUU
Molecule: small nucleolar RNA, 107 nt
Filed under: Olea europaea subsp. europaea
Lineage: Eukaryota; Viridiplantae; Streptophyta; Magnoliopsida; Lamiales; Oleaceae
Description: Plant small nucleolar RNA R71
Rfam family: Plant small nucleolar RNA R71
About the family: R71 is a member of the C/D box family of snoRNAs containing the C (UGAUGA) and D (CUGA) box motifs. Multiple nearly identical copies of this snoRNA have been identified in Arabidopsis, and it is thought to function as a 2'-O-ribose methylation guide for 18S ribosomal RNA.
Source: Rfam by way of RNAcentral